CUUUCGCCUUCUGAGCAACUACCUGGGUCGUAAGUGCCUCGUUCUCCUGGUGAAUUCUCCUCCAAUCCUUGGUCAAAGCCUCAAUCUUUCCGGCAUCCCUUUUCCCUUCUCACUUGGCGGCUUCGAUCUCCCCCGAAAGCCUCUUAAUCUCGGAACCGAUGCUCUCGAUUUCCUUGUCGUUCCGAGAAGCCACGACGUGAUCUUCCAUCAUUACAACAUA
This 220-nucleotide long non-coding RNA is filed under the name Brassica napus (rape). RNAcentral's name for it is "long non-coding RNA (BNAP_LNC018626)". The record is from RNAcentral. Lineage: Eukaryota; Viridiplantae; Streptophyta; Magnoliopsida; Brassicales; Brassicaceae.